Molecule: long non-coding RNA, 2696 nt
Filed under: Sarcophilus harrisii (Tasmanian devil)
Lineage: Eukaryota; Metazoa; Chordata; Mammalia; Dasyuromorphia; Dasyuridae
Description: lncRNA (ENSSHAG00000027002.1)
Source: RNAcentral
AUGCGCCCACCCCAUGGACGACGUCACGGCCGAGCGAAGUGGAGCUGCCGCCCCCUGGGGGGGGGAGGAACCUCUCCCUGCGAGUUACCGGGGCCCCUGCAGCGCGGAGGGGGAGGGGGCCCCGCAGACUCUGCUCUCCCCCCGGACCAAGAAGGCAAAGGCCCCCCCACCCCGGCAGUAACUGGAAUCGGGACCCUUCCCAAAGGCGCCCCCAGCCUUCCUGGUCUGGACCGUUGGGGUCCCCGGGGAAAGGUAGACGUUGAGCCGACCUCGGAGACGCCCCCACUUCUCCUCAGGAGCGGCCGGAGCCUGGGGGGGGGGGGGGCAGCCCCUGGUCUCGCCCUCGGCCGGGGGCUCUGCACUAAACUGGCCCCUCCCCAGGGCCCCUCCCCGCGGCCAAGGCCAGGGCCGCCCCGCCUGGAGGCGGCUUAAGCUGCGGCGCUGACCGUGGUGCUGGUGAACCCUGCCCCAAGUCCGGCCCGAGAGCAGAGAAAGGAAACGUGCUGACGCGGAAAGCCCCGCCCUCCCCCUUCCCCUCUGCCAAGCAGCCAGUUCCGAGAAAAGGGAUCUGGGGGCCCGGCCCCGCCCCGCGCUUCCUCCACGGGCCUGACUGCACGCUCUGCAUGCUCCGGCUCCCACCGGGGGCGGGGCCUGAGGAGGCCUGCGUGCGCCGCAAAGGGAGCCGGCCUGGCCUGCCUCCUGGGGGUCCCCUGCGGCGGGGGGCAGCAGCCCCGGGUGUCUGGCCCCGCCCCCAGCUUGUGCCAGACCGGGGAGGGAGCCCAGAAGCCUGUACAUACUCAUUAAAGUGUACAUACGCAAGGGGCGUCUCCGUCCUUCUCCCGGCUUCCCCAGCGGCCCUCGGGCCCGCGCCCCCGGAAGGGCGCAAAGCCCCUCCCCCGCCUCCGCCGGGGGCUCCCCGUCCAGCCUUCUGGGGCCGCUCUCCCCUCCCCCCGGACAGGGAAGGGGCGGCCGGGUCUGGGGGGGCUCCCCACCGUGGGAGAAGGACCCUGUGGUGAGAGUGGGGCACGUGCCGCAGGGGCUUCUGGGAGAGGUCCCCCACAACCCUGAAGCCGAGGCUCCUGCGGGGAUGAAAACAGCGGCGCCUCGGCCUCCGCCUCGGGGGGCGCUAGAGAGCACGACCCGGGCGGGGGAGGGGUGCCGCUCACCGCCGGCCACUGGGCCUCCAGUCACUCACACGUCAUGUGACCUUGGGGCGGGGCGGGGCAAUGACUGACUGGGGGGAGGAGGAAGCUCCCUCAGGGAAACAGGAAGCAGGGGCUGUGCCGACCAAUCGGAUGUCACGGAGAGUAGGUUCUUCCGGCUGGGGAUUCCGGACGGAUUUUCAGGUGGCGCGGCGCGACCUUCUUCCCAGCAGGCCCCGCUCCUGGGUCCAGUUCGACGGGAAAUCUGCUCCGUGAGCGGAAGGUUCCGGGCCUGCUGGCUGAGCCCGUCCGGAGUGAGGGCAGGUGCCGGCGUCCGCCCGAGGGGGGGGCUCCCUGAUGGGGCCCGCGGGAGGCAGCCUCCGACACCCGCUCACCGGGUAGCCCUGCGCCCGUGGCUUCACCGCCGCCUGCCUCAGUUUCCUCCUCUGUAAAGCGGGGACCGCGGUGCUGACCCCGACCCAGGGCUGACGUCAUCCCCUGGGGAGAGACAGAGAGUGAUAAGGAGAAAUGGGGGGGGCGGGGGGGGAGACAGAACGACGGGGGCCACGGAGGUAGGGAGAGGCUCGGAGACAGGGAGAGCCGGGCCCAUGGCUCUGGCGUCCGCGCUGGUCCUCGCCCGCCGGGCUCGGGCGCCGCGGGCACCAAGCACAUCCUUUGUUCCCGGCUCCAGCCUCCGGGGGUUGGGCCCGCGGCCCCAGGACCAGCUUUCCCGGUGCCAGGAGAGACCGGGGGGGCGGUGCCGUGCACGGAGCUCCGGCCCCGAGUUCAAAUCCGGCUGUGUGACCCUGGGCAAGGCACUUAACCCCGACUGCCCCGGGGGGAAGAGACCGGUGGUCCCGCGCGCCCCCCCCCAGAGGAGGCCCACGAGGAGCUGCCCAACUGCGCCGGCCCGUCCUGGGAGAAGAUCCCUGAUGCUCCCCUCGCACACGCGACUCCCGGGUUCCUGCGGAGAUUGGGGCGUUGGGGUCCCCAGUGCCCCCAAAUCCGCCCAGGCGGCCUCCGGGUGAGGGGAGCCUGUCCCCCGGGCCCCGACCCCAAGGGCCCUACAACCGGGGCUCUAGGCAGAACGCUGCUGGGGCGCGCUGCUGAGCCCAGACAGGAAGGAGGCGGCGUCAGAGGGGCCGGAGGCGCGGGCUCCCCCGAAGGGGGGUCCUCGGGAGCCCUGCGACCGAACCCCCGGAAGCUGGAGCUGGGACGCGUCCGGCAGAGCCCGGGCCACGGCCCUUCCUGUUCUGCCGCCGGCUCCCGCUUGGCCCCGGGUCUCGGGGUUCGCAGGAAGGGGCCGGAAGAACGAAGGGGCCUCAGUGCCCACAGUGCCCACAGUGCCCGGGCCGGGCGAGGGACGCCGGGCGGGCAAGAGCCGGUGUGGAUGCCAGAGCCCCGGCCCAGAGGCAGUAACUGGUCCCUAGACGUGCCGCCUUGGGGGCUGGGAGACCUCCUCCCGCCAUAAAGCUGGCCCGGCCUUCCCCCAGGGCUGGCGCCCCCUGCGUGGAAGCCCCCCCCCCGCCCCCGGUUCCCAGCGGUUGCUCAGCA